Molecule: ribosomal RNA, 422 nt
Filed under: uncultured bacterium
Lineage: Bacteria
Description: bacterial SSU rRNA
Rfam family: Bacterial small subunit ribosomal RNA
Source: RNAcentral
GGAAUUGUUCGCAAUGGGCGCAAGCCUGACGACGCAACGCCGCGUGGAGGAUGAAGGUCUUCGGAUUGUAAACUCCUGUUGCCCGGGACGAAAUGCUCCAGCCUAAUACGCUGGAGUUUGACGGUACAGGGUGAGGAAGCCCAGGCUAACUCUGUGCCAGCAGCCGCGGUAAUACAGAGGGGGCGAGCGUUGUUCGGAAUUACUGGGCGUAAAGGGCGCGUAGGCGGCCUGCUAAGUCGACCGUGAAAUCCCUGGGCUCAACCCAGGAACUGCGUCCGAUACUGGUUGGCUUGAAUCCGGGAGAGGGAUGUGGAAUUCCAGGUGUAGCGGUGAAAUGCGUAGAUAUCUGGAGGAACACCGGUGGCGAGGGCGACAUCCUGGACCGGCAUUGACGCUGAGGCGCGAAAGCCAGGGGAGCAAAC